GUUUAGUUUCGCAUUUUGGCCCCUGUGGAUUUUUCAAAUAGGAAAGUUAUUGUGUAAUAAAAUUCAUUUUUAGACAGCCGAGUGCUAAUUUAGCCUUCAAAGGUGGUUUAUAAGUGCAUCAAGAUUAUUUUUUACAUGUUUUAUGGGCUGUUUUCUGUUUGACAAUCCGUAUUUUCAUAGCUAGACCGGCCAUCGGUCCAGAAAUUAAUGUAAUGUUUACAAACACUUUUUUUCUACACGAAGUUUUUUGACGCAAUUUUACAAAAAAAUGAGAUGAAAGACAUAUGAUUUUCCUUGGAUUUGCUGAAUGAUAUAUGUACACAGUUUCAGAAAAGGUAUUACUUCAAGCGAUUGAAAUUCU
Molecule: long non-coding RNA, 361 nt
Filed under: Mytilus galloprovincialis (Mediterranean mussel)
Lineage: Eukaryota; Metazoa; Mollusca; Bivalvia; Mytilida; Mytilidae
Source: RNAcentral